Long non-coding RNA from Epinephelus moara (kelp grouper), 527 nucleotides. RefSeq lists it as uncharacterized. Lineage: Eukaryota; Metazoa; Chordata; Actinopteri; Perciformes; Serranidae. The record is from RefSeq and is a predicted model, not a curated record. The transcript has 3 exons.
GAGCUGUUGAGGAGACGGCAUGUCUAGGAGACACUGCUUUCUUCAUUGUGACCAAAAAUUACCCUGGUUUGGACUGCCAAAGGAUGAAGGAAAAAAGAGGAAGUGGUUGGAAUUUCUUUUUGAUACAAUUCCUCCACAAUACAACCCGGACAUUUUAUUGUUUUCCCUCUAUUUUCCUAAGGACUGCUUCCCAAACUGGCAACAGUUUACUACUGGAUUUUCACAGCAGUGACUCCUGAACAACAGGGCAGUUCCCUUUGUUAGACAAAUCUGGAAAUUCGGGAUCACAACCUGGAAGGGACAACACUGUUCAGCGUUUUAGAUGUUGACUAUGGAUGGGUACCAGAAUCCAGUGCUAAAUGAACCCCGGGGCUAAAUUAUGAGAGACCGAAGUAUUGAUAAGCUCUGACGACUGUAGAUGACUUGAUGAGGCUCGUCUUCCCCAAAAUCCCCAUCCCAAAGGACCUGGCAUCCCAGUAUGAGAGACCCUCAGUGGAGGAAGUGGUUGCCUUACACGUCUCUCACUU